UGAUGGUGUCAUGCAAAGUGCUGGGAGAUAUCGUGUGCUACCUCAUCCCGUGGUAUCAUCACCCAGCACCGUGCGUGUCUGUCG
Molecule: microRNA precursor, 84 nt
Filed under: Ornithorhynchus anatinus (platypus)
Lineage: Eukaryota; Metazoa; Chordata; Mammalia; Monotremata; Ornithorhynchidae
Description: mir-1419 microRNA precursor family
Rfam family: mir-1419 microRNA precursor family
Source: Rfam by way of RNAcentral